GCAGAGGUGGCGGAACGGCAGACGCGCACGGUUCAGGUCCGUGUGCCGGCGACGGCGUGAGGGUUCAAAUCCCUUUCUCUGCA
This 83-nucleotide transfer RNA is filed under the name Eubacteriales bacterium. RNAcentral describes it as "tRNA-Leu". It matches the Rfam family "tRNA". From Rfam's summary of the family: Transfer RNA (tRNA) molecules are approximately 80 nucleotides in length. The record is from RNAcentral. Lineage: Bacteria; Bacillati; Bacillota; Clostridia; Eubacteriales.